Molecule: long non-coding RNA, 1514 nt
Organism: Nyctereutes procyonoides (raccoon dog)
Lineage: Eukaryota; Metazoa; Chordata; Mammalia; Carnivora; Canidae
Exons: 3
Source: RefSeq, a predicted model, not a curated record
CUGAGUAUCAUCUGUGUUCCUACUUUACAAUCUCCUAACUCGACGUGUCCAAGAAGUUCCCUAUCUUUCUAGGGGAAUGUUUUUCCAAGUGCGCCCCACAGACAACCUACAUUAGAACCAACUAUAGUGCUUGUUAAGAGAAAAAAACCCCAAAGAUCUACUGACUCUCUGAGGGGUGGAGCUUGUGUACCUGCAUCUUAAUUAAGUUUGAUCAUGCUCAGAAUUAAGAAUCGUUGGUGUAGUAUGACACAGCUGCAUAUUCUGUUCAGCCUCUAAUCUGUCAUAAUUUAAUAAUUUAACAAUAAAUCAUUUCCCUACAAUGGUCUUGUUACCAACAGUGUGGGUUUUUGCAAGAACUCCUCACUAUCACAAGGCCCUCCAUCCAUUCCUUCAUUAUUGUUCCCUGCAUCCUUAAGAGUUGGGUGGAGGGCAGGUUUUGCUCAGAGGCAGGUGGUGGUGGUAGCUCUCUUUUUCCUCUGCUAAACAGAAUAUUAUACUUGAUUUGUCAUUUCCCUAGGGUUGCUCAGAGUCUGAGGAAUUCAUUCAUACUCAUCUCACAAGAGAUGACGAUAAUGUACAGAAAGUCAAUUUACUAGUGUCGGUGGAGGACUUGUGUGGUUCAAAAGCAGGAAUGGCCCUCCACACAACACAAGCACCCCCUUCGUGGGGAGCAGAUCCAGUCAGAGAAUUUGAAGGCUGCUUCCUGAUGCGUACAUUAAGGAAACCUUAUGGUUAGGGCAGGAGAGGGAGUGAAUUCUGAGAGAAGAUCCUACAGGCUCCCAAUCCUCCCUGGGUUAUCAGUCACAGGCACAGAGAGGGCCCACACUGACCAGACUGUCUUCUUUUGUUCUAGAAAACCUUGGGCCACCUUUCUUUAAAGCCCUUGGCUUUUCCUCUCCUGCCUGCAACAGCCAUUACCUCCACAGCUCCAUUACCCACACACUCUGGGAAGCCUAUAAACUGUAGAGAUGGAAACAAACGCAAGGUUUGGGUCUUGUUACCAUGAAGAUGGUCAUCCUCAGACUGUUGAAUGCACCCAUGCUACAUUUCCCCAGUCAUAAGCCAUAAGAGGCCACCUGGAAGAUGAUGGGACCAAUCUUCAUUUCAUGCAUGUCUACAUUUGGGCUAGACACAGUCCCAUAGGAACCUGAGAAGAAAAGAAAUGGAGUCCCCAACGAAGUCAGCAACAGAAGAACAACCUAGAUCUCAGACUCCUCAGAUGCAUUCCUCUCAUACUUCUUCUUCCCCCUCCCUGUGAUCUCCAGCCUUUAACCAGCCCUGACUCUGAGCUCCAGUGAUUGCCAGUUUCUGGGAAAGGAUUAUAAAAUCUAACACGUAUCAAAUGUGGACUUCUGCUGCUGGCCAAGCCUUGCCUCAAGAUGAGCCCAGCUGCAGAACUCCACAGUGGCACCACAGGAAGCUAAAACUCUGAAAAACAUUCGGUCCUUUCUGUCCAGAGGAAUCAAGAGGAAAGGCCCUUAUGGUCUGAAAAGCGUGUAUGUGGGGGUGCCUGG